GCACCACAAGAGCGUGGAGUAUGUGGCUUAAUUUGACUCAACGCGGAAAAGCUUAUCUGGUCCGGACACAGUGAGGAUUGACAGACAGUUAGACAGAAGUGAGGUUUUGGUAACAAUUGAGAGAGUUGAAGUUCUUUCAUGAUCUUGUGAGAGGUGGUGCAUGGCCGUUCUUAGUUCGUGUAGUGAUAUGUCUGCCUAAUCGCGUCACGAUAACCUAUUGGUCGACAACCCAAUUAUCACAACUGCAGCAUAACUCCCCUUGGGUGGGCGAGGCUCUGUGUAGGAUAGACCUCUGAACAGUACGCAACGAACGCGAUCGUAAUCCCUUGUUGAGUGGCCAUCCUGUAAGCUGCUGGAUUAGGAACCCAGUGGUAUUAUCUCAGCCACAGAUUUUCUGGUUGUAGUGGGCCAGUUUUGAAACUCGGGGAACAUCUGUGACUUUCUUUCUUAACGCAGAGGAAGUUAU
This 466-nucleotide ribosomal RNA is filed under the name Globigerina bulloides. RNAcentral's name for it is "bacterial SSU rRNA". It matches the Rfam family "Eukaryotic small subunit ribosomal RNA", at positions 1164 to 1448 of the family's 1831-position model. Lineage: Eukaryota; Foraminifera; Rotaliida; Globigerinidae. The record is from RNAcentral.